GAAAUGCGAUACGUAAUGUGAAUUGCAGAAUUCAGUGAAUCAUCGAGUCUUUGAACGCACAUUGCGCCCCCUGGUAUUCCGGGGGGCAUGCCUGUCCGAGCGUCAUUGCUGCCCUCAAGCACGGCUUGUGUGUUGGGCCCCCGUCCCCCCCCAAGAGGACGGGCCCGAAAGGCAGCGGCGGCACCGUGUCCGGUCCUCGAGCGUAUGGGAAGCAACUUUUUGUCACCCGCUCCUGUAGGUCCGGCCGGCGACCUGCCCAACCCCAACCUUUUUUUCAACCAGGUUGACCUCGGAUCAGGUAGGGAUACCCGCUGAACUUAAGC
RNAcentral lists this unclassified non-coding RNA (323 nucleotides) under plant metagenome. RNAcentral's name for it is "partial contains 5.8S ribosomal RNA, internal transcribed spacer 2, and large subunit ribosomal RNA". The stretch from base 1 to 105 matches the Rfam family "5.8S ribosomal RNA", at positions 50 to 154 of the family's 154-position model. The record is from RNAcentral.